Molecule: ribosomal RNA, 533 nt
Filed under: uncultured bacterium
Lineage: Bacteria
Description: bacterial SSU rRNA
Rfam family: Bacterial small subunit ribosomal RNA
Source: RNAcentral
UUGAANUGGGCGCAGCCUGAUCCAGCAAUGCCGCGUGAGUGAUGAAGGCCUUAGGGUUGUAAAGCUCUUUCGGCGGGGACGAUGAUGACGGUACCCGCAGAAGAAGCCCCGGCUAACUUCGUGCCAGCAGCCGCGGUAAUACGAAGGGGGCGAGCGUUGUUCGGAAUUACUGGGCGUAAAGGGCGCGUAGGCGGCGCGGGAAGUCAGGCGUGAAAGCCCUGGGCUCAACCUGGGAACUGCGCUUGAUACUCUGGCGCUGGAGUUCGGGAGAGGAGAGUGGAAUUCCCAGUGUAGAGGUGAAAUUCGUAGAUAUUGGGAAGAACACCGGUGGCGAAGGCGGCUCUCUGGACCGAUACUGACGCUGAGGCGCGAAAGCGUGGGGAGCAAACAGGAUUAGAUACCCUGGUAGUCCACGCUGUAAACGAUGUGUGCUAGACGUUGGGAGACGUAGUCUCUCGGUGUCGCAGUCAACGCGAUAAGCACACCGCCUGGGGAGUACGGCCGCAAGGUUAAAACUCAAAAAAAUUGACGGA